UGACCUAUUUCUGGAAAAAUCUCCUUAAUUAGCAUGAAGAGUGAGCAGAGGGAGGAGAUGACCUACCCCUCUCCUAUCUCUCAUGCAAAUGGACCGAAGUAUAACA
This 106-nucleotide non-coding RNA is filed under the name Patagioenas fasciata (band-tailed pigeon). Its description in RNAcentral is "Glycine sequence". It matches the Rfam family "Glycine riboswitch aptamer". From Rfam's summary of the family: This family represents the bacterial glycine riboswitch. Glycine riboswitches usually consist of two metabolite-binding aptamers domains with similar structures in tandem. The aptamers cooperatively bind glycine to regulate the expression of downstream genes. The record is from RNAcentral. Lineage: Eukaryota; Metazoa; Chordata; Aves; Columbiformes; Columbidae.